RNAcentral lists this ribosomal RNA (497 nucleotides) under uncultured bacterium. RNAcentral's name for it is "partial 16S ribosomal RNA". It matches the Rfam family "Bacterial small subunit ribosomal RNA", at positions 28 to 507 of the family's 1533-position model. The record is from RNAcentral.
GACGAACGCUGGCGGCGUGCUUAAUACAUGCAAGUCGAGCGAAAAGGCGCGGAGCUUGUUGCUCGGACGUUAGCGGCGGACGGGAGAGUAACAUGUGGAUAACCUACCUAUAAGACUGGGAUAACUACGGGAAACGGGUGCUAAUAAGGGAUAAUAUAUUGAACCGGGGGGUUGGAUAGUGAAAGACGGUUUUGAGGGAAGUUCUAGAUGGAUACGCGCUGGAUGAGGUGGUUGGUAAGGUAACGGCUUACGAAGGCAAGGAUGCGUGGCCGACCUGCGAGGGUGAUCGCCCACACUGGAAGUGAGACACGGUCCAGACUCCUACGGAAGGCAGCAGUAUCGAAUCGUCCGCAAUGGGCGAAAUCUUGACGGAGCAACGCCACGCGAGUGAUGAAGAUCUGCGGAUCGUAAAACUCUCUUAUUAGUGAAAAACAAAUUUGUAAGUAACUAUGCACGUCUUGACGGUACCUAAUCAGAAAGCCACGGCUAACUACGUG